CCUACUCUCCUUCCUUUCUCAUCCAUGCCCUUCAAAAACCUCACUCUCUCUCUCCUGACUCAAGUCCCCCAAUCGACCAAGCCCCUCUCCACCUUCCUCCACCGCCAUGGAACCAUCUCUGGAAGAUCUCGCCGAUGAUCUUGACAACCUUAGCAUCACCUCCACCACCACUAGCGCCACAACCACCACCACAAGCGCCACCAACACCACUGCUCAUGAAACUAAACACAGUACAAGUUCUGGGUCUGAAACCACUUGGACUAGCUCCAACAUCUCGUCAACUUCCUCCAAGCCCCACCGCCCACCUCCAUGCGAUCACUGUUGGCGCGCAAUCCUACGUUCCAACUACGAAAACUCAAUCCUAACACUAACUGAUCUCCGGUUCGUUCACCGGCUGGGAAGCGGUGACAUAGGGAGUGUGUACCUUGUGGAGGUUAAAGGAGGCAAUGGGUGUCUUUUCGCUGCUAAGGUGAUGGACAAGAAGGAAAUGGAGAGCAGGAACAAAGAAAGUAGAGCAAAGAUAGAGAGAGAAAUAUUGGAAAUGCUGGAUCAUCCGUUUUUGCCUACAUUAUAUGCAACUUUGGAUUCUCCUAGAUGGUCUUGUUUGUUAACGGAGUUUUGCCCUGGCGGUGACCUCCAUGUUCUCCGGCAACAGAAACCCGACAAGCGUUUCGAUGAAGCUGCCGUCCGGUUUUAUGCAUCGGAAGUUGUGGCUGCAUUGGAAUAUUUACACAUCAUGGGAAUUAUAUACCGCGACCUUAAACCAGAAAAUGUUCUUGUAAGAUCUGAUGGUCAUAUCAUGCUUACAGAUUUUGAUCUCUCCUUAAAAGAUGAUAUGUCAACUUCAACAGCUCAAAUUGUUUCUGAUCAAAACCAAUCUACCACAAAUUCAAUGAGUGAUUACCCCAUUGAUCCACCUCAGUCUGCCGCAUCAUCAUGCAUUCUACCUAAUUGCAUUGUGCCUGCUGUCUCAUGCUUCUAUCCGAGGCGUCGUCGAAAAAGAAAAUUCAAUCAGCGUGGGACUCUUGAGAUUGUGGCGGAGCCAAUAGAUGUCCGAUCAAUGUCAUUCGUCGGGACCCAUGAG
RNAcentral lists this unclassified non-coding RNA (1084 nucleotides) under Hevea brasiliensis (rubber tree). The record is from RNAcentral. Lineage: Eukaryota; Viridiplantae; Streptophyta; Magnoliopsida; Malpighiales; Euphorbiaceae.